GGUCUAUUAGUUCAAUUGGUUAGAGCAUUAUGCUAAUAAUAUAAAAGUCAUAAGUUUGAAUCUUAUAUGGUCCA
Molecule: transfer RNA, 74 nt
Filed under: Glycine max (soybean)
Lineage: Eukaryota; Viridiplantae; Streptophyta; Magnoliopsida; Fabales; Fabaceae
Also listed under: 1 other name
Rfam family: tRNA
About the family: Transfer RNA (tRNA) molecules are approximately 80 nucleotides in length.
Source: Rfam by way of RNAcentral